CUGCUACUCCCUCCGUUCGGAAUUACUUGUCGCAGAAAUGGACGUAUCAAGACGUAUUUUAGCUCUAGAUACAUCCAUAUCCAAGACAAGUAAUUCCAAACGGAGGGAGUACCUU
Triticum aestivum (bread wheat) is the source of this 115-nucleotide non-coding RNA. The record is from Rfam. NCBI's taxonomy places the organism in Eukaryota, Viridiplantae, Streptophyta, Magnoliopsida, Poales, Poaceae.